Molecule: ribosomal RNA, 369 nt
Filed under: uncultured organism
Description: bacterial SSU rRNA
Rfam family: Bacterial small subunit ribosomal RNA
Source: RNAcentral
CGAAGGGGCUAGCGUUGUUCGGAAUUACUGGGCGUAAAGCGAGUGUAGGUGGUUGUCCAAGUUGGAUGUGAAAGCCUUGAGCUCAACUCAAGAAAUGCAUUCAGGACUGGAUGGCUAGAGGACCGGAGAGGAUAGUGGAAUUCCCAGUGUAGUGGUGAAAUACGUAGAGAUUGGGAAGAACACCAGUGGCGAAGGCGGCUGUCUGGACGGUUUCUGACACUAAGACUCGAAAGCGUGGGGAGCAAACAGGAUUAGAUACCCUGGUAGUCCACGCCGUAAACGAUGGGUGCUAGACGUUGGCGAGCUUGCUCGUCAGUGUCGCAGCUAACGCGUUAAGCACCCCGCCUGGGGAGUACGGCCGCAAGGUUG